Molecule: ribosomal RNA, 461 nt
Filed under: uncultured Haliscomenobacter sp.
Lineage: Bacteria; Pseudomonadati; Bacteroidota; Saprospiria; Saprospirales; Haliscomenobacteraceae
Description: partial 16S ribosomal RNA
Source: RNAcentral
GACUACCGGGGUAUCUAAUCCUGUUUGCUCCCCACGCUUUCGUGCCUCAGCGUCAAUCGAAGCCCAGCAAGCUGCCUUCGCAAUCGGUGUUCUAUGACAUAUCUAAGCAUUUCACCGCUACAUGUCACAUUCCGCCUACCUCAACCUGAUUCAAGUCUAACAGUAUCAAUCGCAGUCCACUCGGUUAAGCCGAGGAAUUUCACAACUGACUUAUCAGACCGCCUACGCACCCUUUAAACCCAGUGAUUCCGGAUAACGCUUGCACCCUCCGUAUUACCGCGGCUGCUGGCACGGAGUUAGCCGGUGCUUAUUCUGAUGGUACCCUCAGCACCCCAUAAAUGAAGUGGUUUGUCCCCAUCCAAAAGAAGUUUACAACGCUGAGCGCCUUCAUCCUUCACGCGGCAUGGCUGGAUCAGACUUCCGUCCAUUGUCCAAUAUUCCUCACUGCAGCCUCCCGUAGG